RNAcentral lists this ribosomal RNA (340 nucleotides) under Acidobacteriota bacterium. Its description in RNAcentral is "Acidobacteria bacterium partial 23S ribosomal RNA". It matches the Rfam family "Bacterial large subunit ribosomal RNA", at positions 2589 to 2925 of the family's 2925-position model. Lineage: Bacteria; Pseudomonadati; Acidobacteriota. The record is from RNAcentral.
UAAAGCGGUACGUGAGCUGGGUUUAGAACGUCGCGAGACAGUUCGGUCCCUAUCUGCCAUGGGCGUAGGAGAUUUGAGGGGGGCUGUCCUUAGUACGAGAGGACCGGGAUGGACGGACCUCUAGUGUACCAGUUGUCGCGCCAGCGGCAGUGCUGGGUAGCUACGUCCGGAAGGGAGAAAUGCUGAAAGCAUCUAAGCGUGAAACCCUCCCCAAGAUGAGAUCUCCCUGGACCUUCGGGUCCCUGAAGGCUCCUGGAAGACCACCAGGUGAUAGGCCAGAUGUGUAAGGCCCGCGAGGGCUUGAGCUAACUGGUACUAAUCAGCCGUGAGGCUUGACCAC